Molecule: ribosomal RNA, 253 nt
Filed under: uncultured bacterium
Lineage: Bacteria
Description: partial 16S ribosomal RNA
Rfam family: Bacterial small subunit ribosomal RNA
Source: RNAcentral
UACGAAGGGGGCUAGCGUUGCUCGGAAUCACUGGGCGUAAAGGGCGCGUAGGCGGCGUUUUAAGUCGGGGGUGAAAGCCUGUGGCUCAACCACAGAAUGGCCUUCGAUACUGGGACGCUUGAGUAUGGUAGAGGUUGGUGGAACUGCGAGUGUAGAGGUGAAAUUCGUAGAUAUUCGCAAGAACACCAGUGGCGAAAGCGGCUCACUGGCCCGAUACUGACGCUGAGGCACGAAAGCGUGGGGAGCAAACAGG